CUAAAUGAAUCCCUACGAAGAGAGACUAACAGGAUUCCCUUAGUAACGGCGAGUGAACAGGGAUAAGCCCAGCACCGAAGCCUUUGGUCAUUUGGUCAUUAGGCAAUGUGGUGUUCGGGUCGGUCCGCAGAGGCACUGCCCCACUCUGAGUCCAGCAAUGAGUAUGGUAGCAUGGACAUGGCCCAUUGAGGGUGAAAGGCCCGUAAGAGUGGGGUUCAGGCAGGCCAGUGCCUCUCUGGAUUGACCUUAGAGUCGGGUUGUUUGGGAAUGCAGCCCAAAGUGGGUGGUAAACUCCAUCCAAGGCUAAAUACAAGCACGAGUCCGAUAGCGAACAAGUACCGUGAGGGAAAGUUGAAAAGUACUCUGAAGAGA
RNAcentral lists this ribosomal RNA (372 nucleotides) under Phyllodistomum srivastavai. RNAcentral's name for it is "Pseudophyllodistomum srivastavai partial 28S ribosomal RNA". It matches the Rfam family "Eukaryotic large subunit ribosomal RNA", at positions 42 to 384 of the family's 3401-position model. Lineage: Eukaryota; Metazoa; Platyhelminthes; Trematoda; Plagiorchiida; Gorgoderidae. The record is from RNAcentral.